AACCUGGUUGAUCCUGCCAGUUGUGAUAUGCUUGUCUCAAAGAUUAAGCCAUGCAUGUCUAAGAAUAGGGUUUUCUCUACUCUGAAUCUGCGAACGGCUCAUUAAAUCAGUAAUUAUCUAUUUGAUCAUUAUGUUUUUUACUUGGAUACCCUCAGUAAAGCCGAGAUCAAUACAUGCGCGCUAAGAGGAUUAUGUAGGUUUGUGGUGUAAAAGCUCAGCCUAUAUUAUUCUUUUGGUGGUGUUUCUCACCACCAGUAUUUAUUGGAUUUCCUAGACCAGCCCACGCUCUUCAUCUUUGGUGAAUGGCGUGGUAUUUUGGUGACUCACGAUAACUUUACGAAUCGCACCAUACACGACUAUCUAGUUGUGUGGCGAUGUUUCAUUCGAAUUUCUGCCCUAUCAACUUUGAUGGUAGGAUCGAGGCCUACCAUGGUGGUGACGGGUGACGGGAGAUCUGCGUUUGACUCCGGAGAGGGAGCCUGAGAGACGGCUACCACAUCCAAGGAAGGCAGCAGGCGCGCAAAUUGCCCAAUCCUGACACAGGGAGGCAGUGACAAAAAAUAACAAGAACCUGGGAUUACUUUCUGGGUUCAUUGGAAUGAGUACAAUGUAAACGCCUUAACGAGGAUCGAUUGGAGGGCAGGUCGGGUGCCAGCAGCCGCGGUAAUUCCUGCUCCAAGAGUUUAUAUAUGUGUUGCUGCAGUUGAAAAGCUCGUAGUUGGAUUUUGAAUGAUAGUGGUGGGGAUCAAAUGGUCGUUUUGCUGCCGUACUUCUGUAUGUGUCAGCGAUUCUGUACUGCCCCGCUCGUCUACAAUUUGUCUUCUUGGGAGCAGGAGGGCAUCAUGUCCUCCUACACCUCAAAGAAGAUCUUAUGUUACUUUGAGUAAAUCUGAGUGUUCAAAGCAGACUGACAAUAUCGAAUCAGUCUUGGAAGCGCUAGCAUGGAAUAACGUGAUAGGACUCCGGUGGCCGUUCUGCGUUGGUCUAAGCCGUUCCGGGGUAAUGACUAAGAGGGACCGUCGGGGGCACUCGUACUUCCUUGUCAGAGGUGAAAUUCUUGGAUUUAGGAAAGACGGACCACUGCGAAAGCAUUUGCCAAGGAUGUUUUCAUUAAUCAAGAACGAAAGUUGGGGGCUCGAAGAUGAUUAGAGACCGUUGUAGUCCCAUGACCGUAAACGAUGCCGACUGGGGAUCUGGGGGUUUAUAGAUUGACGUACGAGCGAGACUUGUUCUCGCUCCAUCGUCCCCCCAGGCACCCUCCGAGAAAUCAAAGUGUAUGGGUUCCGGGGGGAGUAUGGUCGCAAGGCUUAAACUUGAAGGAAUUGACGGAAGGGCACCACAAGGCGUGGAGCUGCGGCUCAACUUGACUCAACACGGGGAAACUUACCAGGUCCAGACAUAGUGAGGAUUGACAGAUGAAGUAGUGAUGGUAACUUUUUGUUAUUAUUACGCUUAUUAUUGAGAGCUCUUUCGAGAUUCUAUGGGUGGUGGUGCAUGGCCGUUCGUAGUUGGUGGGUUAUCUUGUCAGGUUUAUUCCGGUAACGAACGAGACCUCAGCCUGCUAAAUAACGGGGCUCACGGGGUAUAUUUCUGUGGGCAUUUUCCGUUUCUUAGAGGGACUCCUGGCAUCUUCCAAGCCAGUGGAAGCUUGAGGCAAAAACAGGUCUGUGAUGCCCUUAGAUGUUCUGGGCCGCACGCGCGCUACACUGAUGCAUGCAACGAGCAGUAAUGAUUUUAGGUUGGUUGGGGUUCUACUCCUCCCCAUCUCAGAAUCCUCCUGGGCUGUGAAGCACUCCGGGUACUCUUGUGAACCUGCAUCGUGACGGGGCUAGAUCUUUGCAAUUAUGGAUCUUCAACGAGGAAUGCCUAGUAGGCGUUGGUCAUCAGCCAGCGUCGAUUACGUCCCUGCCCUUUGUACACACCGCCCGUCGCUUCUACCGAUUGGACGCUGCGGUGAAGACCUGGGAUUGGAGGUUGAUAUUUGUGAGGAGGAGUGUCUGGUCUCUGCCCGCUCUCCGCCUCCUAGGCCUCCGAGAACUCGUCUGAACCCCAUCGUCUAGAGGAAUAAGAAGUCGUAACAAGGUUUCCGUAGGUGAACCUGCAGAAGGAUCA
Molecule: ribosomal RNA, 2112 nt
Filed under: uncultured eukaryote
Lineage: Eukaryota
Description: bacterial SSU rRNA
Rfam family: Eukaryotic small subunit ribosomal RNA
Source: RNAcentral